Cyanistes caeruleus (blue tit) is the source of this 566-nucleotide long non-coding RNA. RefSeq lists it as uncharacterized. NCBI's taxonomy places the organism in Eukaryota, Metazoa, Chordata, Aves, Passeriformes, Paridae. The record is from RefSeq and is a predicted model, not a curated record.
UAAGAACUGAAAGCAGCAACCUCCCUAGACUAGCCAGUAAGAGAGUAUGAACAAAAAGAAGUUAUGUGAAAAUGUCCAUAUCACCAGGGUUUUUUUCCACUGCUCCUGAAACAGAGUGACAGCCAGACUCCUUAGAGUAUGUCAGUGUUGUAUCUGAAGAUAUAUUAUUUUCUCUUCUGCACUCAGGAUUUGUCACCACAGAAGUCAGCUGAUAUGCACUAGCAUGUAGCCAAGGGUAUGUCCUCCUGCUCCAGUCUGGAGUCAUCCCCAUGCUGCACUGUGCUCCUCUUCAUGGGUUGCAGUGGCAUACCUACUCCACAGAAGUCCCACAGAGAAAUCCCUGCUUCUCCAUUUGUUUAUGAUGUAAGCUGUUUUACUUAUUUCUCAAAAGUGAGCUCGGAAAGAUGCUCCACAUACAGGAGAUGCUGGUGGCAGCCAGCUGCAAUCCAGGUCCCAGGAACUGUGGCAUAAGGGACAACAACAGAGUCUGAACCAGGAGCUGAAUGCAGUUGACUCCAGUUGUUCUACAGGAGUAGGAUGUAAAAGGACCUUAACUGACAGCUCAA